AUGGUUUUAACGGUUGAUACUAUCCUUCUUAUCUUCGUUUUCAGUGCAAUUCUUUCGGGAGGAAAUCUAAAUAUUGUUGAUGCUUGCCCGGAAUUUUGCUACGAUUCAGCUGCAUACAUGACUUGUCCUUCUUCAGGAGAUGAACACCUCGAUCCACCAUGCAAUUGUUGCCUUGCAUCAUCUGGUUGUACAAUUCACGAAACAGAUGGAACUCCUAUUUGUACUGCUCAUUGA
Molecule: non-coding RNA, 234 nt
Organism: Vicia faba (fava bean)
Lineage: Eukaryota; Viridiplantae; Streptophyta; Magnoliopsida; Fabales; Fabaceae
Source: the annotation of a GenBank genome assembly